RNAcentral lists this long non-coding RNA (795 nucleotides) under Nicotiana benthamiana. Its description in RNAcentral is "long non-coding RNA (NBEN_LNC030043)". The record is from RNAcentral. Lineage: Eukaryota; Viridiplantae; Streptophyta; Magnoliopsida; Solanales; Solanaceae.
AAAAGAGGAUUCAGGAUUUAAAAUUUAAGGUUUUGUUCUUUCAAGACAUGAACGUUGUACUACUUUUUAAGAUUUGCACACACAUAUCCAUGAUUUAACUAAAUAAUUGUCGAUCUAGUACUGACCUGCCGUCAUAGUAUCCUGGUGACUUGUGGUGUUCACGGUAGACAAAUCCGUGCUGCAACAUGUGAAAUAAUAUAUUAAAGUUAAAAGUUAAUUUUUUUCUAAAUGUAUAAAUAUGUCAGUCUUUUUUUUAGGAACAAAUAGAAGGAAAAAAAAAUGUCGCAUAAAAUUGAAGGAGUAUGCAAAAUUUAGAACAAAUAUUGACCUCAGUCUCGAAUUCCAAGCAAGGAACCCAUCCAUUUUUCAAGAGGUACUCAAUUUCGCUAAGCAAUUGCUCCACGCUCAGAUCAGGAAGGUAUGAGAGAGUCUCGUACUUCUUCUUGUUAAUUGGUGGCCACACCUAUACUCCACCAAAUAGAAUUUUUAGCUGUGACAUCUUAAGAUUCAUUAAUUGUAUCAAAAUUCUUUGCAUUGUGAGUGUAUAUAAGUUACCUGCAUGCAUUGCACUCUUCCGCCGUUGCUGGCAAUGGAAGUGAUGUCAAGGUUUUGCUUCCUUGAAACAGGGAACGAGGCAGCUGACUUAAGACCAGUGAAAGGUGCAACCAUGUUAGCUUGAGCAACAUUGCUGCGGGUGGCAACUGCUGCUGAGGAAAGAACUGAGGAAGCCAUUGUUAAUUACACUUAAGACAGAAAGAUUUCUCUUUCUCUCUUUUCCUUUUUUUUCCUUUAAAC